CCUAAUCAGGGGGGGCGAGUGAGGGGGAGAACGCUGCUAGAGAUAAACUCGUCUGCCACCAUCACCUCGCUAUCAGACACGAGGGGUAUAAAUAACAAACCCCUGACAUUCUUCAUCGCCACGGAGAUAACAUCAAGAGGACCUAAAUGAGAGCACGCACACCCGUUACUGCUCAGAGAACCGUGAUACUAACAGCAGAGGUCACUUUGGGCUCAGUUCCUCCGCUGUGACAGUGUACAGAAGUCCACACCAGGCCGAGGGCGGCAAAUCAUCGCCGUUUGUUUGACAGAAGCCGACGAAUCACUCUCGCUCUGGGUGUGUGAUUUACACCGACGCGGGAUUACAGCAUUAAUGCUUAUAAACAGACAGAAAGUGUAGAUAUAAUGUAUAAGACAGAUUCAUGCAGAACAUUAUCAAGAUGGAUAAAACCUUCAGGAGGCCUGCGAA
Long non-coding RNA from Misgurnus anguillicaudatus (oriental weatherfish), 447 nucleotides. RefSeq lists it as uncharacterized. NCBI's taxonomy places the organism in Eukaryota, Metazoa, Chordata, Actinopteri, Cypriniformes, Cobitidae. The record is from RefSeq and is a predicted model, not a curated record.